RNAcentral lists this ribosomal RNA (711 nucleotides) under uncultured bacterium. RNAcentral describes it as "bacterial SSU rRNA". It matches the Rfam family "Bacterial small subunit ribosomal RNA", at positions 8 to 710 of the family's 1533-position model. The record is from RNAcentral.
AGAGUUUGGUCAUAGCUGUUUCCUGACGCUAGCGGCAGGCUUAACACAUGCAAGUCGAGGGGUAACAGGGUUUAGUUUACUAGAUUGCUGACGACCGGCGCACGGGUGAGUAACGCGUAUACAAUUUACCUUUUACAGGAGAAUAGCCCAGAGAAAUUUGGAUUAAUGCUCCAUGGUAUUAUCGGGUCACAUGGUUUGAUAAUUAAAGUUUCGGCGGUAAAAGAUGAGUAUGCGUCCUAUUAGCUAGAUGGUGAGGUAACGGCUCACCAUGGCAACGAUAGGUAGGGGUCCUGAGAGGGAGAUCCCCCACACUGGUACUGAGACACGGACCAGACUCCUACGGGAGGCAGCAGUGAGGAAUAUUGGGCAAUGGAGGCAACUCUGACCCAGCCAUGCCGCGUGCAGGAAGACGGCCCUAUGGGUUGUAAACUGCUUUUAUACAGGAAGAAACCCAUCCACGUGUGGAUGGCUGACGGUACUGUACGAAUAAGGACCGGCUAACUCCGUGCCAGCAGCCGCGGUAAUACGGAGGGUCCAAGCGUUAUCCGGAAUCAUUGGGUUUAAAGGGUCCGCAGGCGGGCAAUUAAGUCAGAGGUGAAAUCCCACAGCUCAACUGUGGAACUGCCUUUGAUACUGGUUGUCUUGAGUUAUAGUGAAGUAGAUAGAAUAUGUAGUGUAGCGGUGAAAUGCAUAGAUAUUACAUAGAAUACC